CAGCCGCGUAAUUCCAGCUCCAAUAGCGUAUAUUAAAGUUGUUGCAGUUAAAAAGCUCGUAGUUGAACUUCGGGGUCUACCCAUUGGUCAGGCUUAAUUGUCUGUACUGGUGAGAUGGAUCUCUACCUUCUGAGGAACUUUCAUGCCAUUUAUUUGGUGUGGUUGGAAAUCAGGACUGUUACUUUGAAAAAAUUAGAGUGUUUAAAGCAGACUAUCGUCUGAAUACAUUAGCAUGGAAUAAUGAAAUAGGACGGACUGAUUCUAUUUCGUUGGUUUCUAGGAUCACCGUAAUGAUUAAUAGGGAUAGUUGGGGGCAUUAGUAUUCAAGUGUCAGAGGUGAAAUUCUUGGAUUUAUUGAAGACUAACUACUGCGAAAGCAUUUGCCAAGGAUGUUUUCAUUAAUCAAGAACGAAAGUUAGGGGAUCGAAGACGAUCAGAUACCGUCGUAGUCUUAACCAUAAACUAUGCCGACUAGGGAUCGGACGAAGUUAAUUUUAUAAUGACGCGUUCGGCACCUUAUG
Molecule: unclassified non-coding RNA, 521 nt
Filed under: uncultured Glomeromycotina
Lineage: Eukaryota; Fungi; Glomeromycota
Description: SSU rRNA
Rfam family: Eukaryotic small subunit ribosomal RNA
Source: RNAcentral